ACUCCUACGGGAGGCAGCAGUAGGGAAUCUUCCACAAUGGGCGCAAGCCUGAUGGAGCAACACCGCGUGAGUGAAGAAGGGUUUCGGCUCGUAAAGCUCUGUUGUUAAAGAAGAACACGUAUGAGAGUAACUGUUCAUACGUUGACGGUAUUUAACCAGAAAGUCACGGCUAACUACGUGCCAGCAGCCGCGGUAAUACGUAGGUGGCAAGCGUUAUCCGGAUUUAUUGGGCGUAAAGAGAGUGCAGGCGGUUUUUCAAGUCUGAUGUGAAAGCCUUCGGCUUAACCGGAGAAGUGCAUCGGAAACUGGAUAACUUGAGUGCAGAAGAGGGUAGUGGAACUCCAUGUGUAGCGGUGGAAUGCGUAGAUAUAUGGAAGAACACCAGUGGCGAAGGCGGCUACCUGGUCUGCAACUGACGCUGAGACUCGAAAGCAUGGGUAGCGAACAGGAUUAGAUACCCCUGGUAGGAUAGCG
This 474-nucleotide ribosomal RNA is filed under the name uncultured bacterium. RNAcentral describes it as "bacterial SSU rRNA". It matches the Rfam family "Bacterial small subunit ribosomal RNA", at positions 335 to 801 of the family's 1533-position model. The record is from RNAcentral.